UACAGAGGUCCCAAGCGUUGUUCGGAUUCACUGGGCGUAAAGGGUGCGUAGGCGGUUAGGUAAGUCUAGUGUGAAAUUCCGGAGCUUAACUCCGGAACGGCAUUAGAUACUACUUUACUAGAGGGUUGGAGGGGGGACUGGAAUUCUCGGUGUAGCAGUGAAAUGCGUAGAUAUCGAGAGGAACACCAGUGGCGAAGGCGAGUCCCUAGACAAUUCCUGACGCUGAGGCACGAAAGCCAGGGGAGCAAACGGG
This 253-nucleotide ribosomal RNA is filed under the name uncultured bacterium. RNAcentral's name for it is "partial 16S ribosomal RNA". It matches the Rfam family "Bacterial small subunit ribosomal RNA", at positions 524 to 776 of the family's 1533-position model. The record is from RNAcentral.